UAGGGAAUCUUCGACAAUGGACGGAAGUCUGACCGAGCAACGCCGCGUGAGUGAAGAAGGUUUUCGGAUCGUAAAGCUCUGUUGUAAGAGAAGAACGAGUGUGAGAGUGGAAAGUUCACACUGUGACGGUAACUUACCAGAAAGGGACGGCUAACUACGUGCCAGCAGCCGCGGUAAUACGUAGGUCCCGAGCGUUAUCCGGAUUUAUUGGGCGUAAAGCGAGCGCAGGCGGUUAGAUAAGUCUGAAGUUAAAGGCUGUGGCUUAACCAUAGUACGCUUUGGAAACUGUUUAACUUGAGUGCAGAAGGGGAGAGUGGAAUUCCAUGUGUAGCGGUGAAAUGCGUAGAUAUAUGGAGGAACACCGGUGGCGAAAGCGGCUCUCUGGUCUGUAACUGACGCUGAGGCUCGAAAGCGUGGGGAGCAAACAGGAUUAGAUACCCUGGUAGUCCACGCCGUAAACGAUGAGUGCUAGGUGUUGGGUCCUUUCCGGGACUCAGUGCCGCAGCUAACGCAUUAAGCACUCCGCCUGGGGAGUACGACCGCAAGGUU
RNAcentral lists this ribosomal RNA (549 nucleotides) under uncultured bacterium. RNAcentral's name for it is "bacterial SSU rRNA". It matches the Rfam family "Bacterial small subunit ribosomal RNA", at positions 355 to 895 of the family's 1533-position model. The record is from RNAcentral.